UAAUUACUAAUUUGGCCCCACCCUGUUUAUCCUCUACAUGCUCUCCCUUGGCCAUGUCAUCUGCCGGCACGGAAUCUCAUUCCACUGCUAUGCUGAUGACACUCUACUCUACCUCAGGACAAACCCAACCCCCUCUGCUGCUAUCAUC
This is a long non-coding RNA of Etheostoma cragini (Arkansas darter), 148 nucleotides long. RefSeq lists it as uncharacterized. The record is from RefSeq and is a predicted model, not a curated record. NCBI's taxonomy places the organism in Eukaryota, Metazoa, Chordata, Actinopteri, Perciformes, Percidae. The transcript is spliced from 3 exons.